This 670-nucleotide ribosomal RNA is filed under the name uncultured fungus. Its description in RNAcentral is "eukaryotic LSU rRNA". The stretch from base 226 to 379 matches the Rfam family "5.8S ribosomal RNA". Lineage: Eukaryota; Fungi. The record is from RNAcentral.
CAUUAUUGUAUAACAGAUUCACCAGGGUUGUCGCUGACCUUUCNAAAAGGUCGUGCACACCCUAGUGUUCUCUUCAUAAAAUCUAUCUCACCCCUUUGUGCAUUACCGCGUGAGCCCUUAUUUUUGGUUUGUUCCAUCCAAGAGGGUUCACGUUUUUACAUAUAGACACCUUUUUAAUGCAUGCAUAGAAUGUCUUUACUUUUUGCAAUUAUAUGCAAUUAAUACAACUUUCAACAACGGAUCUCUUGGCUCUCGCAUCGAUGAAGAACGCAGCGAAAUGCGAUACGUAAUGUGAAUUGCAGAAUUCAGUGAAUCAUCGAAUCUUUGAACGCAUCUUGCGCUCCUUGGUAUUCUGAGGAGCACACCCGUUUGAGUGUCGUGACAUUCUCAAAACCUUUCUUGGUUUUAUUAACCAGAAAGGCUUUGGACUUUGGGGGUCUUAUUGCCGGCAUCCUUUGAAGCCAGCUCCUCCUAAAUAGAUUAGUAGGGUCUGCUUUGUCAAUCCUUGACGUGAUAAGAUAUUUUCUACGUCNCGGAGUUUGGCACAGUCACUUUGGGUCCUGCUUCUAACUGUCUUANCGGAAGACAUUGUUGUAAACCCUUGACCUCAAAUCGGGUGAGACUACCCGCUGAACUUAAGCAUAUCAAUAAGCGGAGGAAAAGAAACUAA